Molecule: non-coding RNA, 463 nt
Organism: Hypanus sabinus (Atlantic stingray)
Lineage: Eukaryota; Metazoa; Chordata; Chondrichthyes; Myliobatiformes; Dasyatidae
Source: the annotation of a RefSeq genome assembly
UGAAAAGUUGAGACGCCACUUACCCGCCGCACCUUGUGUGAGCGUCACUCAAUUAAUUACAAUGUCUUGCUGGGUUCGUGUGGUCAGCACGCUGGUGUUCACUGCAAUUUAUAUCAACGCGGAAGUUACAAUGAAUCAACCACCUUCGAAAUCCACAUCUCCGGGGCAGACCGUCCAAAUACCCUGCAACUUGUCUGGAACCUCUUUAGGAAGUAGCAGAGUUUCCUGGUACCAGCAGAUCCCCGGAAAAGUUCCUCGGUAUCUGUUCUACUAUUAUUCGGGGAGCAGCAUUAACAGAGGUUCCGGAGUUCCGAACCGUUUCGGCGGCUCAAUAUCCGGCAACACGGCAACAUUGACAAUAUCGAGCGUCCAGUUGGAGGAUGCGGCAGACUAUUACUGUGCUGUCUGGAAAGAUGCUUUAAUCUUCGGGAAAGGAACGAGGCUGGGAGUUGGCAGUAAGUAA